GUGGCGGACGGGUGAGGAACGCGUGAGAACCUGCCUCAAGGUCAGGGACAACAGUUGGAAACGACUGCUAAUACCGGAUGAGCCUUCGGGUAAAAGAUUUAUCGCCUAGAGAGGGGCUCGCGUCUGAUUAGCUAGAUGGUGAGGUAAAGGCUUACCAUGGCGACGAUCAGUAGCUGGUCUGAGAGGAUGAGCAGCCACACUGGGACUGAGACACGGCCCAGACUCCUACGGGAGGCAGCAGUGGGGAAUUUUCCGCAAUGGGCGAAAGCCUGACGGAGCAAUACCGCGUGAGGGAGGAAGGCUCUUGGGUUGUAAACCUCAAAACUUAGGGAAGAAAAAAAUGACGGUACCUAAUGUAAGCAUCGGCUAACUCCGUGCCAGCAGCCGCGGUAAUACGGAGGAUGCAAGCGUUAUCCGGAAUCAUUGGGCGUAAAGAGUCCGUAGGUGGCACUUCAAGUCUGCUUUCAAAGGCCGAAGCUCAACUUCGGAAAGGGAGUGGAAACUGAAGAGCUAGAGUAUAGUAGGGGUAGAGGGAAUUCCUAGUGUAGCGGUGAAAUGCGUAGAGAUUAGGAAGAACACCAGUGGCGAAGGCGCUCUACUGGGCAUAUACUGACACUGAGGGACGAAAGCUAGGGGAGCGAAAGGGAUUAGAUACCCCUGUAGUCCUA
RNAcentral lists this ribosomal RNA (668 nucleotides) under uncultured Chroococcales cyanobacterium. Its description in RNAcentral is "bacterial SSU rRNA". It matches the Rfam family "Bacterial small subunit ribosomal RNA", at positions 95 to 798 of the family's 1533-position model. Lineage: Bacteria; Bacillati; Cyanobacteriota; Cyanophyceae; Chroococcales. The record is from RNAcentral.